This 330-nucleotide RNase P RNA is filed under the name Anaplasma platys. RNAcentral describes it as "RNase P RNA component class A". It matches the Rfam family "Bacterial RNase P class A". From Rfam's summary of the family: Ribonuclease P (RNase P) is a ubiquitous endoribonuclease, found in archaea, bacteria and eukarya as well as chloroplasts and mitochondria. Its best characterised activity is the generation of mature 5'-ends of tRNAs by cleaving the 5'-leader elements of precursor-tRNAs. Lineage: Bacteria; Pseudomonadati; Pseudomonadota; Alphaproteobacteria; Rickettsiales; Anaplasmataceae. The record is from RNAcentral.
CAGGUGGGGUUGUGGUCGCUGCGUUUUGCGCAGAGGAAAGUCCGGACUCCAAGAGAAGGUGGAGGCAGGUAACUCCUGCCGGGGGUGACCCCAGGUUAGGGCCACAGAAAAUAACCGCCUCGUUUGCGAGGUAAGGGUGAAAAGGUGCGGUAAGAGCGCACCGUGCUCGUGGUAACACUGAGCAGCAAGGUAACCACCUCCAGGAGCAAGGCUAAGAAGGGCACUUUUGUCUUCUCUCAUAUGAUGCCCGGGUGAGCCGCUUGAGAUUAGCAGCGAUGCUUGUCCUAGAUGAAUGACUACACAAGACAGAAUCCGGCUUAUCUCCACCUG